Molecule: non-coding RNA, 30 nt
Filed under: Cricetulus griseus (Chinese hamster)
Lineage: Eukaryota; Metazoa; Chordata; Mammalia; Rodentia; Cricetidae
Source: RNAcentral
UAUUGGCUGAAUUGCAUCAGGAGCAUGACU